CUGUAAUGAUGACUGACUUAGGACACCUUUGGAUUAAUCAUGAAAAUAAUACUGAUUUCUGAACAGC
Molecule: small nucleolar RNA, 67 nt
Filed under: Pelusios castaneus (West African mud turtle)
Lineage: Eukaryota; Metazoa; Chordata; Testudines; Pelomedusidae
Description: Small nucleolar RNA SNORD58 (ENSPCEG00000017559.1)
Rfam family: Small nucleolar RNA SNORD58
About the family: snoRNA U58 is found in introns 1, 3 and 6 of the ribosomal protein RPL17 gene in humans. U58 is a member of the C/D class of snoRNA which contain C (UGAUGA) and D (CUGA) box motifs.
Source: Rfam by way of RNAcentral